Molecule: long non-coding RNA, 459 nt
Filed under: Setaria viridis
Lineage: Eukaryota; Viridiplantae; Streptophyta; Magnoliopsida; Poales; Poaceae
Description: long non-coding RNA (SVIR_LNC005217)
Source: RNAcentral
AUUAUUAGCCAUGCAGAAUAAUUAGGAUCCACGCAAAUUUCACAUAAACUAAAAUGUUGAAGGAUCAAUAUGUAUUAAUGCUCCCUAACCUUAGACAUGUCAAAUAAUUAAUAACACCAGAAGUACAUGACAAACAAUAACCUUGGACACACCAAAAAUACAUGACAAACAAUAAGCUUGGAAUUGAUAUCAGAAAAAAGCAAGAAUAAAUCAAAUGAGUCAAUCAUUACAAAUAAAAUGGACAUACACAAAAUCAUUUACAAGUCUCAUGUGUAUCACAACAUAAAAUUAGACUUCAACCCAUUAAUAGCUAAACUACAAAUUGCAACCAAAAACACUUUCCACCUCAAGACAUCACGAAUAGGUGCACAAAUCAACAACAAAGGAAGCAUUUCAUUAAAAAAAAAUGGAAACCCAACAUCAUUAUGUGAGGAAUUAUCUCAUAUUUUAACCCAAGAG